UACAGAGGGUGCAAGCGUUGUUCGGAAUUACUGGGCGUAAAGCGCGUGUAGGCGGCUUGGCAAGUCAGACGUGAAAUCCCUCAGCUUAACUGAGGAACUGCGUCUGAUACUGCCAGGCUAGAGUGUCGGAGGGGAUGGUGGAAUUCCCGGUGUAGAGGUGAAAUUCGUAGAUAUCGGGAGGAACACCCGUGGCGAAGGCGACCAUCUGGAAGACAACUGACGCUGAGACGCGAAAGCGUGGGUAGCAAACAGG
Molecule: ribosomal RNA, 253 nt
Filed under: uncultured bacterium
Lineage: Bacteria
Description: partial 16S ribosomal RNA
Rfam family: Bacterial small subunit ribosomal RNA
Source: RNAcentral